AGUGAACGCUGGCGGUAGGCCUAACACAUGCAAGUCGAACGGCAGCACAGUAAGAGCUUGCUCUUACGGGUGGCGAGUGGCGGACGGGUGAGGAAUACAUCGGAAUCUACUUUUUCGUGGGGGAUAACGUAGGGAAACUUACGCUAAUACCGCAUACGACCUACGGGUGAAAGCAGGGGAUCUUCGGACCUUGCGCGAUUGAAUGAGCCGAUGUCGGAUUAGCUAGUUGGCGGGGUAAAGGCCCACCAAGGCGACGAUCCGUAGCUGGUCUGAGAGGAUGAUCAGCCACACUGGAACUGAGACACGGUCCAGACUCCUACGGGAGGCAGCAGUGGGGAAUAUUGGACAAUGGGCGCAAGCCUGAUCCAGCCAUACCGCGUGGGUGAAGAAGGCCUUCGGGUUGUAAAGCCCUUUUGUUGGGAAAGAAAAGCAGCAGGUUAAUACCCCGCUGUUCUGACGGUACCCAAAGAAUAAGCACCGGAUAACUUCGU
This 491-nucleotide ribosomal RNA is filed under the name uncultured bacterium. Its description in RNAcentral is "partial 16S ribosomal RNA". It matches the Rfam family "Bacterial small subunit ribosomal RNA", at positions 29 to 506 of the family's 1533-position model. The record is from RNAcentral.